GACCUUCUGGUCUUGAUCUGACAGCUUUGUGAUUACAGUGGGACACUAAGGGAGCUGCCACCAAGUGGGAAUGCUGGAUGUCAGAAGCAGAACCUUAAACAACUUUGGCAUUUGGUGGAGAAACAACACAGAUGGGCAUACCAGAGUAACUUGCUCACAACAGCCCUUCAUUCCCUACAGCCUUUCAUUCCCAGCAAAGAGCGUGAGGAGGAACCACUGCUUUGUAGUGCACUUACAGUAACUGGCUGUACCUGCUGGCACUUCCUGGAAAAGCAGAAAUAAACUUUCAUAAUAUCCUUUAACA
Molecule: long non-coding RNA, 304 nt
Filed under: Lonchura striata (white-rumped munia)
Lineage: Eukaryota; Metazoa; Chordata; Aves; Passeriformes; Estrildidae
Description: domestica (Bengalese finch) lncRNA (ENSLSDG00000014675.1)
Source: RNAcentral